Molecule: long non-coding RNA, 307 nt
Filed under: Salmo salar (Atlantic salmon)
Lineage: Eukaryota; Metazoa; Chordata; Actinopteri; Salmoniformes; Salmonidae
Description: lncRNA (ENSSSAG00000107087.1)
Source: RNAcentral
GGGAGUAAAAGGAGGACUUAGAGAGGCAGUAUAAUCAGAGAUAAAGACAGGGAGGUAUAGAGAUUGAACAUGGAGGAGGACUUAGAGGCAGUAUAAACAGAGAUAAAGACAGGGAGAUAUAGAGACUGAACAUGGAGGAGGACUUAGAGGCAGUCAGAGAUAAAGACAGGGAGAUAUAGAGACUGAACAUGGAGGAGGACUUAGAGGCAGUCAGAGAUAAAGACAGGGAGGUAUAGAGACUGAACAUGGAGGAGGACUUAGAGGCAGUCAGAGAUAAAGACAGGGAGAUAUAGAGACUGAACAUGGA